Molecule: transfer RNA, 72 nt
Filed under: Camelus bactrianus (Bactrian camel)
Lineage: Eukaryota; Metazoa; Chordata; Mammalia; Artiodactyla; Camelidae
Also listed under: 2 other names
Rfam family: tRNA
About the family: Transfer RNA (tRNA) molecules are approximately 80 nucleotides in length. Their secondary structure includes four short double-helical elements and three loops (D, anti-codon, and T loops). Further hydrogen bonds mediate the characteristic L-shaped molecular structure. tRNAs have two regions of fundamental functional importance: the anti-codon, which is responsible for specific mRNA codon recognition, and the 3' end, to which the tRNAs corresponding amino acid is attached (by aminoacyl-tRNA synthetases). tRNAs cope with the degeneracy of the genetic code in two manners: having more than one tRNA (with a specific anti-codon) for a particular amino acid; and 'wobble' base-pairing, i.e. permitting non-standard base-pairing at the 3rd anti-codon position.
Source: Rfam by way of RNAcentral
GAGGGCAUAGCUUAGUGGUAGAGCAUGUGCUUGGCAUGCACGAGGUCCUGGGUUCAAUCCCCAGCACCUUUG